RNAcentral lists this ribosomal RNA (446 nucleotides) under uncultured organism. Its description in RNAcentral is "bacterial SSU rRNA". It matches the Rfam family "Bacterial small subunit ribosomal RNA", at positions 28 to 507 of the family's 1533-position model. The record is from RNAcentral.
GAUGAACGCUAGCGAGACGCUUAACACAUGCAAGUCGAAUGUCGAUUUAUCGGCAUGGCAGACGGGUGAGUAACACGUGCUUAAUUUGCCCCGGAGUGGGGGACAACAUCGGAAACGGUGAUAAUCCCGCAUACGCCCCAAUAAAUGAAAAUAAUUGGGGGAAAGAUUUAUCGCUCUGGGAGAAGGGCGCGGCUGACUAGUUAGUUGGUGAGGUAAUGGCUCACCAAGACGAUGAUCAGUAGCUGGUCUGAGAGGACGAACAGCCACAAUGGGACUGAGACAAGGCCCAUACCCCUACGGGGGGCAGCAGUGGGGAAUCUUGCGCAAUGGACGAAAGUCUGACGCAGCGAUCUCGCGUGAAGGAUGAAGCUUUGCGGAGUGUAAACUUCUUUUCUGGGAGAAAACGACUGAUGGUAUCUCAGGAAUAAGGGACGGCUAACUACGUG